UUUUGACCCCAGGUCAAGCA
This 20-nucleotide ribosomal RNA is filed under the name Arceuthobium pendens. Its description in RNAcentral is "partial 26S ribosomal RNA". Lineage: Eukaryota; Viridiplantae; Streptophyta; Magnoliopsida; Santalales; Viscaceae. The record is from RNAcentral.